Molecule: long non-coding RNA, 574 nt
Filed under: Gallus gallus (chicken)
Lineage: Eukaryota; Metazoa; Chordata; Aves; Galliformes; Phasianidae
Source: RNAcentral
GAGGCUAGAUUUAUGUAAGGAUCCAAAAGGUAUUCAUGUAUAUGAGGAUGGGGAAACAAGGAGAGUUUGGACAACACUGAAGUAACCUGUAAAUUUACAUCAUAGGGCUGAUCAAGAAUCCUGCCCAUUCUGUCAAAGAGGACUUUCAAGAAAUGGCCUUCAAAGAAUGAUGCUUCUAAAUUGCACUUUUCCAAAGACCUGGGAGACCCAGGCCACUCCCACCGUAAGCAGAUGAGACAGUAAUCCCGGAAUUGUCUGUGGGCAUCUCUGAGGUAAGUAUCAUAACCUGUACCCUCCACGUGGUAUGAUGACUUAGCUUCAUCAGGUACAAGACAGAGAAAACUAUUUACAAUUUUAUGAACUUCAGUCUUCCCAUCAUUUUUGGGAUGUUCUGGACUGACAGGUGGAGAAACACUGAGCCACUCUUGAGCCCCAGUGUUAUCUGGAGACAGAUCGGUAAAUAGUGGAUCUUCCUCCAGGUCUAUUGCUCCUGCAAUCUGCCCAUUCUCUACCACAUCUUUAUCUUCUUGACACAGUGGCUUAUAUUCUAUGUAAUUUCUUUCUUCCAGAUUUC